UUAGAUGUUGUUUAGUCUUCAGACUUACCUUUAUUCCUCCCCACCAAAGAGCUAAAGCUGCCAGGAUACCCCAGUUUUAUGGUUAGUGAAGCACCCCUCUGCCAUCUUUUUCAGAUGCUGUCUUCCUGAUUUUAUACAAAGAAUUAUACUACAGGCACAUAUAUGCCAAAGUCAGUGGGGGACCUUCCUUGGAGCAGAGGUUUGAAUCCUAUUACAACUACUGCAAUCUCUUCAACUACAUUCUUAAUGCCGACGGUCCUGCUCCCCUUGAACUACCCAACCAGUGGCUCUGGGAUAUCAUCGAUGAGUUCAUCUACCAGUUUCAGUCAUUCAGUCAGUACCGCUGUAAGACUGCCAAGAAGUCAGAGGAGGAGAUUGACUUUCUUCGUUCCAAUCCGAAAAUCUGGAAUGUUCACAGUGUCCUCAAUGUCCUUCAUUCCCUGGUAGACAAAUCCAACAUCAACCGACAGUUGGAGGUGUACACAAGCGGAGGGUGUCACUGUGUCACCCAGUCUGGUCUUGGACUCCUGGGCUCAAGCAAUCCUGCCUUGGCCUCCCAAAAGUGCCAGGAUUAUUGGAGAAG
RNAcentral lists this small RNA (583 nucleotides) under Pongo abelii (Sumatran orangutan). Its description in RNAcentral is "processed transcript". Lineage: Eukaryota; Metazoa; Chordata; Mammalia; Primates; Hominidae. The record is from RNAcentral.